GACGAACGCUGGCGGCGUGCUUAACGCAUGCAAGUCGAACGGAAAGGCCCUGCUUUUGUGGGGUGCUCGAGUGGCGAACGGGUGAGUAACACGUGAGUAACCUGCCCUUGCCUUUGGGAUAACUUCAGGAAACUGGGGCUAAUACCGGCAAGGAGCUCCUGCUGCAUGGUGGGGGUUGGAAAGUUUCGGCGGUUGGGGAUGGACUCGCGGCUUAUCAGCUUGUUGGUGGGGUAGUGGCUUACCAAGGCUUUGACGGGUAGCCGGCCUGGGAGGGUGACCGGCCACAUUGGGACUGGGAUACGGCCCAGACUCCUACGGGAGGCAGCAGUGGGGAAUAUUGCACAAUGGGCGGAAGCCUGAUGCAGCAACGCCGCGUGCGGGAUGACGGCCUGCGGUUUGUAAACCGCUUUCGCCUGUGACGAAGCGUGAGUGACGGUAAUGGGUAAAGAAGCACCGGCUAACUACGUG
This 468-nucleotide ribosomal RNA is filed under the name uncultured bacterium. Its description in RNAcentral is "partial 16S ribosomal RNA". It matches the Rfam family "Bacterial small subunit ribosomal RNA", at positions 28 to 507 of the family's 1533-position model. The record is from RNAcentral.